RNAcentral lists this long non-coding RNA (1209 nucleotides) under Gopherus agassizii (Agassiz's desert tortoise). RNAcentral's name for it is "lncRNA (ENSGAGG00000000824.1)". Lineage: Eukaryota; Metazoa; Chordata; Testudines; Testudinidae. The record is from RNAcentral.
AGCCUGGCACAGCUGGCACCCCCCGAGUCCCGCAGCCCCCUUGGCCCGGGCCCCCCUGCGUCUCACCCUCCCGGCCCGGGCUGCAGCAGGCGGAGGCCGCGGCCGCUCUCGGGGCCCAGCGCGCCCGGGCCCAGUACCUGAAGCCGGCCCGGCUGGUGCGCACCGUUCUCCGCAGCCCGCCGGCGGGAGCGCAGGGAGCCUGGGCCCGGCCUGAGCCGGAGCCGGGGCCGCGGGGCGGCGUCGGUCCCUCCCCCGCUGCCGCCAACGCGUGACCCGAGGCCGUGCGGCGGGAGCCGCGGGUGUCUGGUCCUGGGAGCCGGGGGAGGCGUCAGGCUGCUGCGAGCCCCGGAGCCCCGCGGCGGCGCUGGCUGGGGAGGUGGGAACUGGGAAAUCGCUGCCACUUGCCAGCGUGGGGGUCUGGUCGGUAUCGCUGAUCGCCGCGGGGAGGACACGGGGAGGCUCCGAAGAGGCUGGGAAAAUGGCUUGAUUAUGAUUAAAUCAGAACCCAGUUAUCUAGCCUGCAACUAGUGGGACACGCGGGACUUCCUAGCGGCGAACCGCGCCCUGCUGCGCCCACGCAGGGCCAUAGCAGCCGGAGCUCUGGGGCAGUAAGCAAGCAAUGGCUGUAGCAAGAAACGCCCCCCAGAAACUCCGUGUAAAUGAAGCCGCUGCCAGGCUGAAGCAGGAGGAGCAGGAAGUCAUGAAGGCUGUUCCAAGGAAAGCUGUGAUCGCAGACCAUGAGGAACAGGGCUCUAAGCAGAAACCUAAGUGCCUGAGCUCUACUUCAUCCCUGUGGAGGAGGAGAAUUCCUGUGGUGGUGGCUGGAAAGUGCUAAUGGACUCUGGUGUGCAGGGUUGGUGUAUCUGUGGGGAUAGCUGAUGGAUCCACAGGGGGUUGCUUGUGCAGCGUGUGUGAGACAAUUGUAUUAUUUUAAAUUUGCAUAUGCAAAUAUUGCACAUUCAGGCUGGGAUUUUCACAGGCUACUGAAACUCUCUCAGGCUUCUUUGGAAAUCCCAGGCUAAUUUCCUCAGGAACAUCUGAAAACAUUUCCACCAGUAAAUGAACAGCCUCCCAAAUCCCUGCAAAACAAUGAAUAACCGGCCCGUCAUUUCAUUACUGGAAAAUUGUAUGUGCAAAACUUGUUAUCCCAAAUGAAGUUCCCAAACACACUGGUGUAAAUAAAACAAUAAAACAAGUUUAUUAACUACA